CUUACAAAACGAGCUCUAAAUAUCUCUGCUCAUCAAUCACUUUUGUCUGCAUUUGAAACUCUGCUUUCGGUUCUCUCUCUCGAACCCUAAGUUCAGUUGCCAUAGAAAUUUAGCAUCCCUCUGUUCCACCCCAACUCUGUUCCUACGACCACUAGAUAUCGUGCCUCCUAGCCGUUCUUGAAACUUUACUUUCCUCUAAGUUUUUCCACUCAACAGACUUCCGAUCCCACGCAAACCCAUUACACUGGUCGUCCGAUUAACUUCAAUAACACCCCCGUCAGCUUUUUCCUAUUGUUCAGACCUAUCUCAAGCAGGUUUGUUUUAUCAGUUUCUUGAACCCGUUCUUUGUGAUUUCAGUUUCUUGAACCUGUUCUUUGUGAUUUCUUGGGAAAAAAUCGGUAGUUACGUGUUAAGAAUUGAAUUUUAUUUACCAUUUUUAACACCUUUUCAACUUAAAUUAUUGGAAUAUCAUGAUGUCCAUGUCUUUUACUUGAAUUGAUUUCUUUAAUUUGGGAGAACACUACUAGAGAUACAGCAGAUGCGGAGUCAGUUCUGCUGCUCAUUCUUUAAUUGAUUUGAUAACUAACUCUAACAGGUACUUCCUUCCAUGAAUCCACGAGCAAUUCAAAAGCAUUUUAGAGGAUGAAGAGAAGAAGAAGAGAAAGUAUAUUAGGGCCUUGUUUGAGCCCUAUUUUGGGGGGAGAAAAUGAAUUUUUGAACAGUGUAUUGAUGGAAAAUGUGUGGUUAAAAAAUAAGUCAAAAUUUUGAAUUUACGUGUAAUAUUAUUUUAUUGAAAAAUGUGUGGUUGAAAUGAUAUCAAUACACUGUUUAAGAAUGUAUUCUUUUGGAGAAAAUGGGGCUCAAACAAGGGCUAGAUUUCUAUAGCCAAAUAAUUGGGUUUUAGAUCAUAAGUUUGUUGAUUUCAUGUUUUUCAUGGUAAUAUAUUUGCAUCUUGCACCAUUUGAUGAUGUUACUCAAGCAUUUUCGAGGGAAAGGUAUGAUUAUCAACAGAGAAACCUGGUUUAUUCGGAGUUCAGAUUACUUGCAAAUUAUGUAAUUUGACCAAUAACAUCCAUUUCGUCGCAGAUUCAAAGGUUUUUUUGUUUAGUAGAAUAUCU
This 1118-nucleotide long non-coding RNA is filed under the name Olea europaea subsp. europaea. The record is from RNAcentral. Lineage: Eukaryota; Viridiplantae; Streptophyta; Magnoliopsida; Lamiales; Oleaceae.